Molecule: ribosomal RNA, 253 nt
Filed under: uncultured bacterium
Lineage: Bacteria
Description: partial 16S ribosomal RNA
Rfam family: Bacterial small subunit ribosomal RNA
Source: RNAcentral
UACGUAGGGGUCUAGCGUUGUCCGGAAUCAUUGGGCGUAAAGAGCUCGUAGGCGGUUUGUUGCGUCGGCUGUGAAAUCCCGAGGCUCAACCUCGGGUCUGCAGUCGAUACGAGCAAACUAGAGUGUUGCAGGGGAGACUGGAAUUCCUGGUGUAGCGGUGAAAUGCGCAGAUAUCAGGAGGAACACCGGUGGCGAAGGCGGGUCUCUGGGCAACAACUGACGCUGAGGAGCGAAAGCGUGGGGAGCGAACAGG